This is a non-coding RNA of Molorchus minor, 71 nucleotides long. The record is from the annotation of a GenBank genome assembly. Lineage: Eukaryota; Metazoa; Arthropoda; Insecta; Coleoptera; Cerambycidae.
GGUCUUGUAGCUCAGUGGUAAAGGCUUUGGUUCGUAAGCACAGAUUGCAGGUUUAAUUCCUGGUAGGGCCG